Molecule: ribosomal RNA, 497 nt
Filed under: uncultured bacterium
Lineage: Bacteria
Description: partial 16S ribosomal RNA
Rfam family: Bacterial small subunit ribosomal RNA
Source: RNAcentral
GACGAACGCUGGCGGCGUGCCUAAUACAUGCAAGUCGAGCGAACAGACGAGGAGCUUGCUCCUCUGACGUUAUCGGCGGACGGGAGAGUAACACGUGGAUAACCUACCUAUCAGACUGGGAUAACUUCGGGAAACCGGAGCUACUACCGGAUAAUAUAUUGAACCGCAUGGUUCACUAGUGAAAGACGGUUUUGCUGUCACUUAUAGAUGGACCCGCGCCGCAUGCGUUAGUUGGUAAGGUAACGGCUUACCAAGGCAACGAUGCGUAGCCGACCUGAGAGGGUGGUCGGCCACACUGGAACGGAGACAGGUUCCAGACUCUGACAGGGAGCAGCGGUAGGGAAUCGUCCGCGAUGGGGGAAAGCCUGACAGAGCAACGCCGGGUGAAUGAUGAAGGUCUUCGGAUCGGAGAACGCUGAUAUUAUUGAAGAACAAAUGUGUAAUUAACUAGGCACGUCUUGACGGUACCUGAUCAGAAAGCCACGGCUAACUACGUG